GGCGGCAUGCCUUACACAUGCAAGUCGAACGGCAGCACGGGGGCAACCCUGGUGGCGAGUGGCGAACGGGUGAGUAAUACAUCGGAACGUGUCCUGUAGUGGGGGAUAGCCCGGCGAAAGCCGGAUUAAUACCGCAUACGCUCUACGGAGGAAAGGGGGGGAUCUUAGGACCUCCCGCUACAGGGGCGGCCGAUGGCAGAUUAGCUAGUUGGUGGGGUAAAGGCCUACCAAGGCGACGAUCUGUAGCUGGUCUGAGAGGACGACCAGCCACACUGGGACUGAGACACGGCCCAGACUCCUACGGGAGGCAGCAGUGGGGAAUUUUGGACAAUGGGCGAAAGCCUGAUCCAGCAAUGCCGCGUGUGUGAAGAANGCCUUCGGGUUGUNAAGCACUUUUGUCCGGAAAGAAAACCUCCGCCCUAAUAUGGUGGGGGGAU
Molecule: ribosomal RNA, 437 nt
Filed under: uncultured beta proteobacterium
Lineage: Bacteria; Pseudomonadati; Pseudomonadota; Betaproteobacteria
Description: bacterial SSU rRNA
Rfam family: Bacterial small subunit ribosomal RNA
Source: RNAcentral